Molecule: non-coding RNA, 73 nt
Organism: Biscogniauxia sp. FL1348
Lineage: Eukaryota; Fungi; Ascomycota; Sordariomycetes; Xylariales; Xylariaceae
Source: the annotation of a GenBank genome assembly
AGGGCUAUAGCUUAAUUGGUAAAGUGUGCAACUCAUGAUUGCAUUUUUGAUCGUUCAAGUCGGUCUAGCCCUA